UGAGUAACCUGCCCUGGACUUUGGGAUAACCCUCGGAAACGGGGGCUAAUACCGGAUAUGACACGCUCUCGCAUGGGAUGUGUGUGGAAAGUUUUUUCGGUCUGGGAUGGGCUCGCGGCCUAUCAGCUUGUUGGUGGGGUGAUGGCCUACCAAGGCGACGACGGGUAGCCGGCCUGAGAGGGCGACCGGCCACACUGGGACUGAGACACGGCCCAGACUCCUACGGGAGGCA
This 232-nucleotide ribosomal RNA is filed under the name uncultured bacterium. Its description in RNAcentral is "partial 16S ribosomal RNA". It matches the Rfam family "Bacterial small subunit ribosomal RNA", at positions 118 to 350 of the family's 1533-position model. The record is from RNAcentral.